Pogoniulus pusillus (Red-fronted tinkerbird) is the source of this 1834-nucleotide long non-coding RNA. RefSeq lists it as uncharacterized. The transcript has 3 exons. NCBI's taxonomy places the organism in Eukaryota, Metazoa, Chordata, Aves, Piciformes, Lybiidae. The record is from RefSeq and is a predicted model, not a curated record.
UUUACAACUAUAGAUAGAAAUAUACAGGCUAAAGGUAAUACAGAAACAUAAUAGCCCUCCCAGAAACCAGAGUCCCCAGGAGGGGCUUCCAACCACCCUUCCACCUUCUUUCCACCCCUCUACCUUAUCCCAGAGUCUGCCUUACGUGCAAGGUGAGCUUGGAGGAUUGGCAAGGGAAGUUAGAAGCAGAAGGGUUAUUUACACAGACCCAAGCAGAAACACACACUCUGACAGAGACACACACACUCUCUCUUAUCUAUGUCUUCCUGUUUUUAUACAUCUCAGCAAGCCUAUGAGUGCAUCAGACAUCACCAUUGUUUUCUUUUCACAGCCUAUAAUGUUAUUUUUCUCGUUAAAAUAUUCCAGUUUGUCUCAAACUAACACAAGUAUACUUUUUUACUAGCUACUUUUGGAGGUGUUUUUCUUGGAGGGGCUACUUGUCUAUGCUCACUUCACAUCAAGUGCUAAAUAACAGCAGUUGCUCUAUCCUCUGAUGACCCCCUCCCCAGCAGAGAAGGAGGACUGGGAAAAGACUUUUGGGUUGAAAUGAAAAUGGAUUUAAUGAAACAGUAAAAGUGAUACCAGUGCAGAUAUACCAUUUGCAAAGGUAUACUUUGCCCAGUGAAAGCAGGGUGAUCGCAAUAAAGAGGAUGGCAGUCCUCAGACAGAAUGGAACCUUAACCUGCAAACUUCUGGAGCAGAAGAAGGAGCUCUUACUAGCUUUAAAGACCAGGUGACUCAGCAGUAUCUUACGAGAAGCCUUUGUUAGAUGUUGGAACAAAUUACCUAGGUACACUGGCUGAUUAAAGGGACAGCCAGCAUACAGUUUACAAGCAGCUUAAAAGCAGCUUCCAGGGCACAGCUGUUUCAUAGGCCUGGCUGCAGGACUGGACCAUUCUGGGUUUUCAGUAAUUGCCCAGGUCUUUGGCCAUGUGAGUAGCUGUUAACACGGAUGCUGUGAGACCUGAUCCAUAGCUUCUGCUACAACAAAGUUGUCACCUGCUUCCACUUCUCAACUCUGCACAAUAUGUAAUGUGUGUCCUUGCACUUAAAAGCACAGUGGCAGGCUGGUGGCAGGAAGAUCAGGCUAUUUUUGGCAGUGUAUGCAUACAGUGAACAUUCAGUUACAAGCAUGGUCUGUGUUGUGUGGCUCCAUGCAGGUGUCCAUGCUGAGCUGGCUGCAGUUUCUGCUUGAGCUGUGGCUUAGCCGGUGGCCCUGGCCCAAGCACUGCCUGAAGGAGAACUCACUGGGCUGUGCCAGAGGGGCAGUGCUAAUGUUUCUAAAGUUCAAGUUAGAGGUAUCAUUGUCUUUGCCAUGCUUACAUCCUCAUAUUAUGAGAAAUAGCUUCUCCUCUGGCAUGUGAUCGUGCAGAAGCAUCAUACUUGUGUCUUGAAUGUACCCUGUGAUGUGGAGCCUGAAGGAGCUGCACUUAACAAGGCAUACAGCAUAUGAAUUCCAAUGCCAGCAAAAAAACCCAAACCUGCUUUAUAUGUUAAAAAGGUUCAAGUGUUUUUUUAUACUAAUAGAUUAGUAAGGGUGACCUGCAAAAUGAACCCCAAAACUCGUGCAGAGUCUUCCUCACAGGGUCUUUUUCUCUUUGAUCAGCAGACCCCUCUUUAUUGCUGAUGUCAGGAUAUCUCUGCUUCUCCUCUGUCUCCUUCCUGUUUUCCUUAGUUAUUGCAGGCUUGGGCCUUUACAAGACUACAUGUCACAGAUCUCCAGCUAGUAGCUGCAGACGCUUCUGCAGUAGCUGUUGUUUAGGUUUGCAUAUUAUCAACUGACCACUAUAAACAAACCUUUCUGCAAAGUUUGGUGUUUUAUGGUUUGCCACAG